AGAGUUUGAUCCUGGCUCAGAUUGAACGCUGGCGGAAUGCUUUACACAUGCAAGUCGAACGGCAGCACGGGAGCUUGCUCCUGGUGGCGAGUGGCGAACGGGUGAGUAAUGCGUCGGAACGUACCGAGUAAUGGGGGAUAACGCAGCGAAAGCUGUGCUAAUACCGCAUACGCCCUGAGGGGGAAAGUGGGGGAUCGCAAGACCUCACGUUAUUCGAGCGGCCGACGUCUGAUUAGCUAGUUGGUGGGGUAAUGGCCUACCAAGGCGACGAUCAGUAGCGGGUCUGAGAGGAUGAUCCGCCACACUGGAACUGAGACACGGUCCAGACUCCUACGGGAGGCAGCAGUGGGGAAUUUUGGACAAUGGGGGCAACCCUGAUCCAGCCAUUCCGCGUGAGUGAAGAAGGCCUUCGGGUUGUAAAGCUCUUUCAGCUGGAACGAAACGGUACGCUCUAACAUAGCGUGCUAAUGACGGUACCGGCAGAAGAAGCACCGGCUAACUACGUGCCAGCAGCCGCGGUAAUACGUAGGGUGCGAGCGUUAAUCGGAAUUACUGGGCGUAA
Molecule: ribosomal RNA, 562 nt
Filed under: uncultured bacterium
Lineage: Bacteria
Description: bacterial SSU rRNA
Rfam family: Bacterial small subunit ribosomal RNA
Source: RNAcentral